GAACAGCGAUACAGGUGAAGAAAUUACAGUAUAAUUUUCAAGAAAUCAUUUUAAUUACGCUUUUUAACAUAAUAAAUCCGGCAAUAUGCAAUUUCAAAAGGUAACUCACGUGUUAUUUGAUCUAGACGGUCUACUUCUAGAUUCUGAAAUAUUAUACACUGAAUCUUUCACGAGAGUUUGUGCUAAGUAUGGUAAAGAAUUCACGUGGGAACUGAAGUCAACCCUAUUGGGAUUUCAAGGCCAUGAGUGCGCAGAAAAAAUCACUAAGACUUUGAACCUACCUAUAACUAAAGAAGAAUUCAUGAAUGAAUGUAGCAAGAUCAAUGAGGUACUAUUUCCUAAUGUACAGCUUAUGCCAGGAGCUGAAAAGUUGGUGAAACACCUCCACAAACAUGGUGUACCCAUCGCAUUAGCCACUAGUUCAGGCAAAGAAAGUGUGGAAUUAAAGAUGCAAAACCAUAAAGAAAUACUUGGCUUGUUCCACCAUCUUACCAUGGGGCAAUCAGACCCAGAAGUUACCAAAGGAAAGCCAGACCCCAUAAUUUUCCAAGUCUGUGCUUCUAAAUUCCCUGAAAAACCAGUACCUGAAAAGUGCUUGGUGUUUGAGGAUGCAGUCAACGGUAUCAAGGCAGCAAAGGCAGCAAAUAUGCAAGUGGUCGUAGUCCCAGACCCUCGGGUGGACCCUGAACAGCUGAAGGAUGCCACAUUGGUCCUCAAGUCUUUAGAAGAAUUCCAGCCAGAGCUGUUUGGUCUACCUUCUUACAGUUCUUAAGGUAAUAAUUUAUUUUUAAUAUGGAGAUAAUGUUUUUAGUGCAAUAAUUAUAUUUGUACUUAGUACACAGUAAUUUUUUUGCAUAAUUGUACAUUAAAUUUUCUAUGAAUUUUACCAUGAGUACUUACAGAAAGUCUUUUAUAUGUUUUUAUAUUCAUGUUAUUAUUGUCCACAAAGAAGUCACAAAUCCAACUGUAAACUUUGGGGUAGGAACUUGUUAACAAUCCUUACCUAACCAGUAUUAAACAAAUACUAACUUGUUUAUACUUAGUUUAGUAAUUUUAAAGCACCUGUCGCAAAAAGUUUGUGCAUUGAAUCACUUGUUACAUUUUGUUGAAACCAAAGACUUCUGACUACCACUAGACAAGUUGUUCGGAAUUAAACUAUCGAGGGACAAAACCGGACAUAUCACGACAUACAAGAGUAUUAUUUGUAUAACUAACUUUAUAAACUAAUUUACUUGUUUUAUCUGUAAAUGGGCAAUGUACAGCAUUUAUUCUGUCUAGCAGUACCUAGAUGUCUUUGGUUAGUAUACAUGUAUCUACUUCAGAGCUUCCAUUUGUGAGCUUUUAUAAUUAUGAUGCUUUGUUCUUGUAUAAUUAUGUCAUACAUUGAUUAUUGUGAUAAAGGAGUACCUGCGAACUUCAAAUACUUGAGUUGUACAGUAACUGUAUUUAAUUUACUUUAAUUAAUUACCUAGUCAAAGGGCAUUUGAUGCCUGCUCUCUCUGGAAAUAA
Molecule: RNA transcript, 1509 nt
Organism: Ostrinia furnacalis (Asian corn borer)
Lineage: Eukaryota; Metazoa; Arthropoda; Insecta; Lepidoptera; Crambidae
Gene name: pseudouridine-5'-phosphatase-like
Exons: 6
Source: RefSeq, a predicted model, not a curated record